CUUAUACUUUUUUAGCAACAUGAUUGAGCAUAGAAUAUUUUAUGCGACGUUGCCACGUUCGCGUUACUGAAAAUUUGUAAUUUAUUAUUUUGACGUAUUGUUUUUACCAACACCUAAUAUUAUGAUGAUACCAAAUUUAAACGAGCCACGACCUAUAAGCCGAAUCCAGCUAUAUCAACAAUGUUAUCGAUAGCAAUAAAUGUAAGUUUUAUCCGAAAUAUACUGAUAUAUUAUAGAUGGUUAUAGACAUAUAGUAGUGAGUGUUUGAUCGCCUAUAGUCGUGUCACAUUGUGCGUUAAUUAUUACUAUUAUCAAACAUGUAAAUUAACAUAUGACACAUAUUAUAUAUUAACAUAUAUCGUGUUAUUUUAUAAAUCAUAUUAUAUAUUGUAAUUUUUAUUAUUAUAAUUAUUUAAAUUAAUAUUUUUUUUGUAUAAUAUAGUUCAAAAUUUAAAAUGGCAAUAUCGCAGUUUUAUUAUGGUUAUUCGUGUAGGUUUUCUUCUGUAUUUCUAUUCGCCAAACAAUUUGCUCAAUCGUGUCAUAACCCAUUAAGUAAAUGUUUUUAUUAUUGUUAUUUUAGAUCCUGAGCGGAGCGAGGAAUGUGUUGGUUUUAUAAUGAUGUUUAUUUAUUUUUUUAAGACAACUUUUCUACCAGUAAUUUUGCUUCGAUUUUCAAUGAUUUCUGAAAGGAAAUUGGACUGGGGAAGCACUUUAAGGAAGUCAUUUUUUGAUCUCCGCAGAAGUUUUCUCAAUAAAUGAGAAAAACCGGGAAAACCUUUAGAAAACAGGAAAAUAGGUACAAUAUUAUACAAAUAUUAUUAAUGAAAAUAUAUAAUUCAUUUUAUAUAAUUAUUUUUCCAUAACAUGACAUAUAUAUUGUAGACAAAGAAACACUAUCAACUGAACUCUGCUCAGAAUCUUUUUUUCGUUAGCAAUGGUUUAUUGUUUCUUAUAGAUAUACAUUAAAUUACCUAAAACAGUGAUAAUUUGAUAAUUGAUAAUUUAAUCUUAAAUAAAAAAGGGAAUCCCGUCCACCUCACUUUAACCACUGUUUCUAUGUAUCAACCUGUUAUUUAAAUACUGAGUUUUCUGAUUAUGCUC
This is a non-coding RNA of Cinara cedri, 1101 nucleotides long. Lineage: Eukaryota; Metazoa; Arthropoda; Insecta; Hemiptera; Aphididae. The record is from the annotation of a GenBank genome assembly.